AUGGCUGCCAGCGUGGCAUACCUCCAUAGGCCCACGGGACACUCUAGGCCGACACCUUCAGUCUCUAUGGCCGCAGAGCCACUCUGGCACCUCUUCCCCCACCUCUCUAUGGUCUCACCCCCCUCCCCCCCCCCCAUAGAGCCACACACAGAACCCAUGGAAACGGAUUAAAGCACUUUAUUGGGGGGGGGGGGUGGGGGAUGGGGGAGGGGGGCUUCUGUGGGGCACACAGGGGUGCUAUGGGGCACACAGGGGCACUAGGGGGCACCCAUGGGUGCUAUGGGGACAACCAGGGGUCGCUAUGGGGUUUCAUCAACACACAAACAAUAGGACUGAUGGCCUUCCCCCAUUGACUCGACCCAACAUUGGCCAUGGGGCAGCUGUGGGGCACACAGGGAUGCUAUGGGGCACAGAGAGAUGCUAUGGGGCAGCUAUGGGGACAACCAGGGGUUGCUAUGGGGUUUCGUCAACACACAAACAAUAGGAUUGAUGGCCUUCCCCCAUUGGGUUGACCCAACGUUGGCCAUGGGGCAGCUAUGGGGCACACAGGGAUGCUAUGGGGCAGCUAUGGGGACAACCAGGGAUCGCUAUGGGGCUCUCCAACACAAAACAACGGGACUGAUGGCCUUCCCCCAUUGACUCAACCCAACGUUGGCCAUGGGGCAGCUGUGGGACACCUAUGGGGCACAGAGAGAUGCUAUAGGGCAGCUAUGGGGCAGCUAUGGGGACAACCAGGGAUCACUAUGGGGUUCCAUCAACACACAAACAAUAGGACUGAUGGUCUUCCCCCAUUGCCUCAACCCAACCCAAGACCCAACGAGGGCCAUGGGGCAGCUAUGGGGCAGCUAUGGGGACAAGCAGGGAUCCCUAUGGCCUUCCCCCAUUGCUGAUGGGCCUUCUCCAUUGCCUCAACCCAACCCAAGACCCCAUGGGGCAGCUAUGGGGACAAGCAGGGAUCCCUAUGGCCUUCCCCCAUUGCCUCAACCCAACCAAUCCCCCCCCCAAUCCCCCACCCCCCCCCACCCCCCACCCCCCAUCAUCCCCCACCCCCCCAUCAUCCCCCCAUCCCAACUUGUGGGUCGCUUCACGGGGGGGGUUAUGGGGUUAUGGGGGGGUUAUGGGUCCCCCUUCGUCCCCCCAUCCCAACUUGUGGGUCGUGUAAUGGGGGGGGGUUAUGGGGGGGUUAUGGGUCCCCCUUCAUCCCCCCCCCCAACUCGUGGGUCACUUAAGGGGGGGGUUAUGGGUUGCUUCACGGGGG
RNAcentral lists this long non-coding RNA (1258 nucleotides) under Gallus gallus (chicken). RNAcentral's name for it is "lncRNA (ENSGALG00010000699.1)". The record is from RNAcentral. Lineage: Eukaryota; Metazoa; Chordata; Aves; Galliformes; Phasianidae.